UUGGAGGGCAAGUCUGGUGCCAGCAGCCGCGGUAAUUCCAGCUCCAAUAGCGUAUAUUAAAGUUGUUGCAGUUAAAAAGCUCGUAGUUGAAUUUCGGGGUUCUACCGUUGGUCGGGCUUUGUCUGUACUGGUGUGUAGAAUUUCUACCUUCUGGGGAACCAUCAUGCUAUUAAUUUAGCGUGGUGGGAAACCAGGACCUUUACCUUGAAAAAAUUAGUGUGUUCAAAGCAGGCUUAUGUCUGAAUACAUUAGCGUGGAAUAAUAGAAUAGGACGGUGGUCCUGUUUUGUUGGUUUCUGAAUCACCGUAAUGAUUAAUAGGGAUAGUUGGGGGCAUUAGUAUUCAAUUGUCAGAGGUGAAAUUCUUGGAUUUAUUGAAGACUAACUUCUGCGAAAGCAUUUGCCAAGGAUGUUUUCAUUAAUCAAGAACGAAAGUUAGGGGAUCGAAGACGAUCAGAUACCGUCGUAGUCUUAACCAUAAACUAUGCCGACUAGGGAUCGGACGAUGUUAAUUUUUCUUGACUCGUUCGGCGCCUUACGGGA
Molecule: ribosomal RNA, 541 nt
Filed under: uncultured Glomeromycotina
Lineage: Eukaryota; Fungi; Glomeromycota
Description: SSU rRNA
Rfam family: Eukaryotic small subunit ribosomal RNA
Source: RNAcentral